ACACUCCUACGGGAGGCAGCAGUGGGGAAUUUUGGACAAUGGGCGAAAGCCUGAUCCAGCAAUGCCGCGUGAGUGAAGAAGGCCUUCGGGUUGUAAAGCUCUUUUGUCAGGGAAGAAACGGUGAAAGCUAAUAUCUUUUGCUAAUGACGGUACCUGAAGAAUAAGCACCGGCUAACUACGUGCCAGCAGCCGCGGUAAUACGUAGGGUGCAAGCGUUAAUCGGAAUUACUGGGCGUAAAGCGUGCGCAGGCGGUUUUGUAAGUCUGAUGUGAAAUCCCCGGGCUCAACCUGGGAAUUGCAUUGGAGACUGCAAGGCUAGAAUCUGGCAGAGGGGGGUAGAAUUCCACGUGUAGCAGUGAAAUGCGUAGAUAUGUGGAGGAACACCGAUGGCGAAGGCAGCCCCCUGGGUCAAGAUUGACGCUCAUGCACGAAAGCGUGGGGAGCAAACAGGAUUAGAUACCCCGGUAGUCC
Molecule: ribosomal RNA, 471 nt
Filed under: uncultured organism
Description: partial 16S ribosomal RNA
Rfam family: Bacterial small subunit ribosomal RNA
Source: RNAcentral